RNAcentral lists this ribosomal RNA (497 nucleotides) under uncultured bacterium. RNAcentral describes it as "partial 16S ribosomal RNA". It matches the Rfam family "Bacterial small subunit ribosomal RNA", at positions 28 to 509 of the family's 1533-position model. The record is from RNAcentral.
GAUGAACGCUGGCGGCGUGCCUAAUACAUGCAAGUCGAGCGAACAGACGAGGAGCUUGCUCCUCUGACGUUAGCGGCGGACGGGUGAGUAACACGUGGAUAACCUACCUAUAAGACUGGGAUAACUUCGGGAAACCGGAGCUAAUACCGGAUAAUAUAUUGAACCGCAUGGUUCAAUAGUGAAAGACGGUUUUGCUGUCACUUAUAGAUGGAUCCGCGCCGCAUUAGCUAGUUGGUAAGGUAACGGCUUACCAAGGCAACGAUGCGUAGCCGACCUGAGAGGGGGGGACGCACCACGAGAGCGGAACCACGCACCAGACUCCGGCGGGAGGCACAAGGGGGGAUUCGUCCGCAAGGGGAGAAGGCGUGACGCAGCAGCCCGGGGGGGGUGAUAAGGGUCUGGGGAUCGAAAACCUUUUUUAUGGGGGAAAAAAAAAUGUGAAAUAAACAAGGCGCUUUUUGGCGGACAUAAACAAAAAGCCCCCGCCAAACUCGGCC